Podarcis lilfordi (Lilford's wall lizard) is the source of this 6797-nucleotide non-coding RNA. The record is from the annotation of a GenBank genome assembly. Lineage: Eukaryota; Metazoa; Chordata; Lepidosauria; Squamata; Lacertidae.
GGGAAAAGAGGCAGUUUCUUAUUCUAGAAUUUCAAACACAGGAGGGCAGGAGGGGGACACAGUGGAAGCUCCACAACCUGUAGCAGGGAUAAAACCCGGAGGGACCUGAGCAGUUAACAGAUUAGCCCAAGAAACUCCACCCAGAGUAUCCCUUUGAGGUUCAAAACGUUGAAAUAGGACAUCAAAGUCAGAGACAAAACACGACAAAGCUCCGGGGUCUUGGGCCAUACUGGCCAUCAGGGACCCCAAUAGAUCCUCGGUGUGCCCUGUGGAUGUGGAAGCUCGCAAACUUUGUCUGGGUGUCUGUACCUUUAGUUGAGUGCUUAUUUGCAGCAGAAGCAACUUUGGCUGGCAUUUUCUUCUUAGGAGGCAUGCCGCUGGACCCUAAGAAACAACAAGCAAACAAUUAAUUUCUUUUAUGCCGAAUUGACGCAGCAGUGGACACUAAAUAUUGUGAACCACCAAAUAGAGCCAAUAAGUAACAAAUAAUUAAAUCCAGCCAACAAGACUGAUCAGGUAGAAAUUAAAUGACCCUGCUACCAAUAAUAAAGGCGUCAGUUUUUCGCCCCAUAAGACGUACCUGACCAUAAGACGCAGCUAGUUUUUAGAGGAGGAAAACAAGAAAAAAAAUUAUUCUGAACGAAACAGUGGAUGUAUGAUUUUUGUGGUUCAUGCUGUGGCCACAAACAUGAUUUGAUGGUGAGUUUGGAGAAUCCAUGUGGAUCCGUGCUUUGUAAUCACGUUUUUGCGUCAUUUCAGCCCCACGAAACAGUGGAUGCAUGAUUUUUUUUGGUGCAGGCUGUAGUCAUGGACAUGCUCUGUGAUCUGAUGGUGAAUUUGGGGUGCAAAAAUUUAGCCCCCACAAAAUUUACCUCCGCACCCUAAAACCUUGUAUUGAAGGCGCAAAGUAAGCAAAGCCCAAAAAUGGAGCCACAGAAUCACUGGGAGAAGUGACGGCCCCGACCAAGUCACAAACGCCACACCACGGACCUGUGAAUUAACUGGAGAGGCAUCAGGCCCGACAGAAGCCGUAUUUGGAAAGAACGAGCAACUCAAGGCAGCUCAAGACGAUGCAAAAUGGAAAGGUCAUGGCAAACCGUAAAAGGCUCCACGGAAACAAUCCAGACAGAGCUCUGUGGUCAGCAGCGCAAAGCAGGUGCUUGGCACACGUCGUGCUGCCACUUUUAUACUUCCCCCCCAUGAUCACCUAUUCAAAUUGAUUGGGCAAUAGUGCUGGGUAAUCGUGGUGCCACCCUGGUGUGAGGGUAAUGGCUCCAUCCACGCCAGGGUUGGGGGACUGGGUUGAGGGCCUGCCUGCAACCAGGACCAUCUAUUAAGAUGAUCCCACUUGCUAUCUGGAAUGCUCGCAAUGGGGGGGGGGACCUUAGCUGCACACCCACCUCCCCUCAUUUGGUGGGGGGGUCUCUCCCUCCCCCACCUGCCCAGCAGCUUCCCUCCCUACUAUCUCCCCCUCCAUUAGACCUUAGACUUAAGACUUUUUCUGCCACCAGGUGUGGCUUCUGAGAGAGAGAAGCCGAGUGAACAAGACAGGCAUCAUACUGCCUCUUUCCCUCUCUCAUAGCUCUUCCUAUGCUUGUUUCUCUUAGCUGUUUCCUAAGGAGGGAUCUACUGCUAGUGAUUUCAAUGACUGGCUAAGCAGGAGCGAAAAGCCUCCUAGUCAUUGGAAGUGUACUUAUAUUAUUGUGGAAUCAGAAGUGUGGGCUCAUGGUCGGCCCUUCAGUGAUGUGGUGUCAUUUAUAUAUAACAUUUAUAUUGACUAGGGAUGGGUGAAUAAGUUAAUUUCUGUUGCUCCGAAUUUCUCAUUUUUCCAAACUUAAGUUCUCCCCAUUUCUACAUCAGUUUGCAGAUUGUUUAAUAUCUAAUAUUGUUUGAAUGCAAUUCUGUAUAACAGACACAUUUUUUGCAACGCAAAUCCCCAUAAUAUAAUGUAAUCCCUCCCACAUGAAUAUAUGCACUUUUUGCAUGCUUUACCCAAGUAUAUGCAUUUUGGUACAUGCUAUUUGGCUGAAGAACUGUAUUGCAAAAUUCAAAGAUGUUCAAACUUUGAAGGAUAGCUGUUGCUUUAAAUAUUAUUUCAGAAUGUGUGAAUUAUACAGAUUCCUUUUUAAAUGGAAACUGAAUAGAAUUCAUCCCCCAUUGCCAAUAACCAGUGUGGAAUUCAUUGCAGAUUCUUUGGUGGUUCAGCUUGGCAAGAUCAGAACGCAGCCCUACAUCUCUGGGGGGCUGGUGGUUUCAUUGGGUCCAGCAUAAAGUGUGAGCUGCUACACCUGCUAUGAAGCACCCAAAAUACACGUCUUUGCCACUGAAGCUGUUAUAACCGACAAAUGGUAUGAAAUAGACCAAUUUAAAAAUGAAUGGAUUAUAUGAAUGGAUAGUGCAUGGAAUUACUAAGCAAAAAAGGAGGCUGAAGAGGAGCCAAAGUCCUCUUUUUAUGGGUGAUGCAAAACGAACAAGACUAAAUGAAAAAUCACCCACAAGGAGUUAAAAGCUCUCAAAAUAUUAGUUGCCUAGAAGAGAUGUUAAAAUAAAUUAUUCCUCUUUUAUGCGAAAAAAAUCUGAGGAUUUCUGAUUUGCACCCAGACCUUUUCAUUAUUCUCCAACUGUGCAGAGCAGCAAUAGCUUGAAUAAAUUUUGACUGAGCAAUAUUAUUAUUUAAAGUCUUUUUGCUUAAUGUAAUCAUUUACACAACUAUCACGACUUUAGCCCUUAUAUCCAAAGAACAUUUCCUUUUCACCCCCUGCACUCAUUUUCCUUUGCAUAGCAAGAGUUGUGCUUCAGAUUAAUACUUUAAAAUAUAAUGAAAUUUCUUGGGUUGGAGGUUUCUUUUUUAAUACAUAUAAAGAGAAGCCAUUAAUUGUUGUGAAGAGCUUAUGAAACUAGGGCGUAUUGAAUCUAGCUCAGAUAUAAGAUUUAAAUGUCUUAAUGGGAUUGUUUUUAGUGUGUAUUUUAAUUACGGAUGUUUAUAUUUUAACAUUUGUGUGACUGGUUUUAUAUUCUAAAUCACUUAGAAGCCUAUACUGGCAUUAACGGUUAUAUAAAUUAGCACAACAGCAAACAUAGUCAACAGGGUGCCCAGCAAAUACCGUAUUUUUUGCUCUAUAAGACUUACUUUUUCCCUCCUAAAAAGUAAGGGGAAAUGUGUGUGCGUCUUAUGGAGCGAAUGCAGGCUGUGCAGCUAUCCCAGAAGCCAGAGCAGCAAGAGGGAUGUGCAGCGAUCCCUCUUGCUGUUCUGGCUUCUGAGAUUCAGAAUAUUUAUUUUCUUGUUUUCCUCCUCCAAAAAUUAGGUGUGUCUUGUGGUCUGGUGCGUCUUAUAGAGUGAAAAAUACGGUAUUUUGGAUGCUAACUGUUAUUACCCCAGACCAUUGGUCAUGCUGGCUGGGACAGAUGGGAGUUGGAAUCCAACAAUAUUUGGUGGGCACCUUGUUGGCUAUCCCUGUCAUACAUGCUACCCGGAGAUCUUUGGAGAAUGAGUAGAAUUCAAACAUGAUAUCCACCGUGGUAGAUCAAUUGCACAACCCAUUUCUAUUGCUCCUGCAUCAAGGCCCACAUCAAGAUCUUUAUCUAUUGCUGUUUACAAAAGCUUGGAACAGAAUCUCUGUUGAUGGUAUGCAAAUUCGUGACUAGGGCUAGCCUAGGGCUCUUUGACACCUGAGGCAAAACACAAAAUGGCAUCCCUCUUGCUAGGGAAGAAGGUGAUUGACCAUCUACAUCAGGAUAACAUCUGUCUUUCCUAUUUGUCAAGAGGCCACCAUAGAGGUAGCAAGGGGGGCUACCAUGUGAACUCUAUGAUCCCUAUGAAUCCUGAUGCCUCAGGCAGUCUCCUCACCUUGUCUCAUGGGUAGGGCAUGUUUAUGACAGCAUUCUGGCUGAGGCCAGUGAUGGGAAUCCAACCAGUGCUUUUCCCUUGGGGUAUUCAAGGGUAUGCAGUACUGGUACCUUUUUCCUAGAAGAAAAACACUGAAUCCAACAAUCUUUGAAGGGCCACAAAUCGCUCAUCCCUGCUUUUAGAACAAUAACACCAAACACUGGCUAUCCCCCCCCCCCUCCAUUUUGUCAAUAUUUUUCUACUUCAGUAAUCUGUGUUGGGUAUGAAAUAUCAUUUUGCAGUAUAAUAUAAUAUUUUCUUAAAACAUGAGACAAUCUUUUGUUAAAGAUGCAAAGUUAUUCUUGUGCUUACUAUAACUUUUGGGUUCUUCUUGACUCUCACCCCCCCCCCCAUAUUUGACUUCAACUAGAUUAGAUUGAGUUGUAUUUUAUGACUCUUUUGCCUGUUGCAACCUAAGUAAAUUGAUGCUAUGAUUUAUAUUUUAUGUAUAUUUGACAGCAAAAGCAAACCAAUAAGUUGUAUCCAAUUGGCCUAAGCAGCAGCUCAUUUCAGAUAGUUGAAAUCUUGUGGUUUUAGAAUAGUAAAUGAAGAGGGGGGGGAGUGGGUGAUCUGAGCACAGUCAUUUAUUUAAAACAGAUAUUCUAAAGUUUUCUACCCAUUCGAAAAGUCCACACAAUAAAACAGGUGUUGUUUGAGGGGGAAACGGUGUUUGCUUCUUUUGCAUAAUGCAUUAGAUGACUCCCAGAGAAGUUCUUCAAGUAAUCUGAAGCCACAGUCUUGGAGACAAAAUGGACUUUUUGGAGAUUUGGCAUAGGGGAGCUCUUGGCUGAAGACAGAAAAUGAAUCACAUUAGGGCAGAACCAUAGCAAUGAGAGAAUAUCAUUUUUUUUCCAGAACUGGCUUAAUUACUCCAGAAAGGUAAACAAGAACUCUGAUGGAUGAAGCCUAACGGGCAUGUGUGCAAACACUUGUAUGCAGGCGAGGGGCUAUGCUCAGUGGAAGAGCAUCUGUCUUGCAUGCGGAAGGUCCCAGGUUCAAUUAUUGACAUCUCUAGGUAGUGUUGGAAGUGUUUCCUGUCUGAACUCCUGGAGAGUGGCUGUAGACAAUACUGAGCAAGAUGUAUGAGAUGUCUAGCUUAGGGUAAGGCAGCUUCCUAUGUGCAGAAAUAUUGGGUUUUUCACAGGUGCUUCCAAUCUGUACCAGUUGUGCUUGUGUUCACUCUGGGUGGCUUCCAACAAAAUAUUAAAAAUACAAUAAAUGAAUAGGUUGCAACGAAUACAAUGGUACCUCGGGUUAAGUACUUAAUUCGUUCCAGAGGUCUGUUCUUAACCUGAAACUGUUCUUAACCUGAAGCACCACUUUAGCUAAUGGGGCCUCCUGCUGCCGCCGCGCUGCCGGAGCCCGAUUUCUGUUCUUAUCCUGAAGCAAAGUUCUUAACCUGAAGCACUAUUUCUGGGUUAGCGGAGUGUGUAACCUGAAGUGUAUGUAACCUGAGGUACCACUGUACUGUACUUUCAACAGCAGAGAGGAACAAGUUGGGCUGGAGACACCAACAUCCCACUGGUUGUCCAGUCUCCUUCUCAGUGCUUCUCCUUCAGUCGGUGGUGUGAGAAUCUUAGUGCUCACCAGUAAAAGAGCCUGACCAAUGGAAGGACACAAGGUGGGAGAUAUGCUGAGCUGCUUGGUGUGUUUGUUACAGAUCUACUACACCCGCAAGCAUAAAAGGUAAAGGUAAAGUACCCCUGGACUCUAGGCAGCACAGCCAGUGGGAUGAAGCACCACUGCUGUUGGAGUUUGGAUCAGAUCUUUAGGCUACAAAUUAUUCAUGUUUGGAUAAGGGAAGUUUCAUAUAACCAACAUUCGGAUUGCAGGACCUGGAUGUAUAGAAUGCCACUAGAUCAGUGGGUCUCAAACUACUUUUAUUCUUUCAGAAUAAAAAUUUGCUUGCCAAAUCUUUUAUUGAUAAGAAAUACAUUGCAUUUAAAAACAAAAAGAAGCAAUUCCCAGCAGUGCUUGAUUAAUAACAUGGGACACAACCACUUUAUAAUACAAUCGUGGGACAUCCAGGAAGUAUAAAACAAUGCAACUACAUAAGAACAUGAGUCAUUCCCAAAAUAAAAUAUUAAUUGUCCUUGACUCUUCCUGUCACCCCAUCCUAUUCUGCCAUGCCCGUGUGGUGCACCACGCCCUUUGAGAACCACUGCUCUAGGUAAUUAGUCCCACUGCCAAACUACUCUUACUAUCCAGAAGGUUAUUCUAACAUUUAAAUAUAAUCUCCCUUGUAAUUUAACUGCAUUAGAUAUAAUUUUGUCCUCAUGCGGAACAGACAAGAAGCAUUUGCCCUUUUCUAUGCAACAGCUCUUUAGGUGUCGGUGACUGGACAGAGGAGGAAUGGUAGAGACUGCUACCCCCUCAUGAACCUUCCAGAGAUGAGGAAGACCGUAUAGAUUUACAGCAGUAGUUUAAGGACGGUCACAGCUCAGAGGUAGAUAAAGAUCAGAGUUGGGAAAUAAUGGGGGAAGAAGGGGGGAAGCAGUGUCAGAGUAGAUGGCUGACACAUUUAUUACUAGAAAGCAUUCCAGAAUCACCAUCUCCCAUCACCUGGCGAACCUUAAAAGUAGGAGAGCAGAGGGCUCAUACGCAAAUGGCCCUAAGCAGCCACCGUAAGGUGAGUGGUGCUAUUGACGACUGAAGAGAGGGGGGUGGAGUUUACUUGGAGCAACGCCAUUACUCCAAGAUGAAGCAUUUCUUAGCCUCUCUCUGAAUAUUGAAUAAAAUAACUUGGUAAGAGCUUUCCUUGCUUAUCUCUUCCUGGGAACCCACCGUGGGGGGGGGGGGGUCUAAGAGAGUCUAAGUCUAAAAGAGAGGCCAGGGUGAUGUCCACCGUUUCCAGGAACUGUUCUCAUUGUUAUACUUUUGUGAGUGAGCUGAGAGUUUGUUUGGACCCUGG